AAGGAAAACCUUGAUUAUCUUCACCGGUGUAGAAGCUACAAAGCUGAAUUUUUGGAUGACUCACCUCAUCGAUGAAUUCAAUAGGCACACAAAAUUUCAAUAGAAUAUGACUUAGCCACACAUUCUCAGAUCAGCAGCCUACGAGACUAUAAGGAAAUACAACAAGCAAAUCAUCAAAGAGUGGAAUCCAGAAUAAUGAAGGACCUGGAUUUGAACCCUGAGGGACACCUUAAAUAACAAUCAUGGCAGUAAUGGAUCUACAUAAUGGAGUUUUUGUACCAAAAACAACAAAUAUGGGACAAAAUAAGAAGCAAAAUCUGGGCUUGAUGAAGAGGAAAGAGGAAGAGGAAAAUCAAAUAUCAUUAAUUGGUAGUUUAAACGUGGUGAAAUGAGUGCAAUAAACCUGAAUUUUUGCUUCGAUAUGUUACAAUGGAUGAAACAAGGUUCUAUCAUUUCACUUCGGAGUCCAAUCAACAGUAAGCUGAGGGGACUGCACAAGAUGAACCGAAUCCAAAGCGAGGAAAAACACAACAGUCAGCUGGCAAGGUUAUGGCGUCAGUAUUCUGAGAUGUGCAAGGUAUAAUAUUCAUUGAUUACCUCCAAAAGGGCCAGACCAUCAACAGCGAUCAUUAUAUAGCGUUAUUGGAUCGUUUAAAAGAUCAAAUCGUUAAAAGACGGCCCCAUUAAAAAAAAAAGGUGAUGUUUCAUCAAGACAAUGCACCGUGUCACAAAUCAUUGAAAACAAUGGCAAAAUUGCAUGAAUUGAGCUUCGAAUUGCUUCAGCAUCCACCGAAUUCACCAGAACUGGCCUCCAGCGACUUUUUUUCUGUUCUCAGACCUCAAACAAAUGCUCGCUGGAAAGAAAUUCAGCACCAAUGAAUAAGUAAUCGCCGAAACUGAGGCCUAUUCUUAAGCGAAGACAAAUCGUACUACAAAAAUGGUUGAAAAGUUGUAAUGAUGUAUUUCAAAAACUCAACGUGUAGAAUAUCUUAAAUAGUAGCAAAAAAUUCGAGAAAAAUACUUACUUGAUAUCAGGAUCUCGCUCGUUCAUGCGCCUAUGGAAGAUCACAGAAAUGUUUAUUGUAUUAUAGGAUAUGUGAUUUAUUAUUAUUAUAUAAGAUCCUCCUGAAAUUCGGCAUCAACGUUUGAGUGAUUAUAUUAGAUGUACAAACUAAAUUUCAACCUCCUACGAUCUUUUGUUAAGGAAAGAAUGGUGGAGGUUGAUUCAAUUUUUCUCACAAACUUUCAAGAUGAGUCGGAAUAUUUUACCUUUGGAAAAAUUCUCUCAGUUAUAAUCUAAGAUGUGAAAUAGAAUAGACAUAUAUUCUCGGCGAAUUACCUGAUUGUACAAUGACAAAAGAGAGACAAGUGCAUUCAGAUAUUUUUUUCUUCAAUCCCCUGUAGAAUCUUCAGAUCAAGUCCUUAGUGAUAGAAAGAUAUUAGCUCGAUAUACAUCCAAUAUCCUAUCUUUCAACUAGGAUCAACCUCUUUAUACUGAGAACUCUUUUGUAAUGAAAAGAGACCCCUUUUUCAACGAAAAAAAAGGUUAAUCUUCAGGUGAGUUGGUAAGGAGCAAAUGUUCUGCUACUGUUCUUUUAUGAUGAAUAUUUAUAAUCUUGAGGGCAGCCUGGUUUUGGUCUGCUGGCACAGCUUAACGUCAAUCAAAUUCACGAGUCAAAAAAAAGUAACAGGUCUCUGGACGUUGCUACACAUUGCGUACAAGAAUUCAAUCUCAUGGGCGGGUAUAACUCUUUAAUAUAAUUUUAGAGAGGAUCAGUCUGAAAGAAUCGUUCGAUGCAAUACCAGCGAAACGAAAUGAAAUCUAAAUGUCAA
Harmonia axyridis is the source of this 1833-nucleotide long non-coding RNA. RefSeq lists it as uncharacterized. The transcript is spliced from 3 exons. Lineage: Eukaryota; Metazoa; Arthropoda; Insecta; Coleoptera; Coccinellidae. The record is from RefSeq and is a predicted model, not a curated record.